GUCCUAGCCGUAAACGAUGGACACUAGGUGUUGGUGGUAUCAACCCCGCCAGUGCCGAAGCUAACGCAUUAAGUGUCCCGCCUGGGGAGUACGGCCGCAAGGCUAAAAACUCAAAGGAAUUGACGGGGGCCCGCACAAGCAGCGGAGCGUGGGGGUUUAAUUCGACGCAACGCGAAGAACCUUACCAGGACUUGACAUGACCAGGACAGCGGCGGAAACGUCGUCUCCCCGCAAGGGGCCUGGCCACAGGUGUUGCAUGGCUGUCGU
Molecule: ribosomal RNA, 267 nt
Filed under: uncultured bacterium
Lineage: Bacteria
Description: partial 16S ribosomal RNA
Rfam family: Bacterial small subunit ribosomal RNA
Source: RNAcentral